GUGAAUGCUCUCCCUAAAACAAUAUUUGCACAUCUGUAUAUAGCCCCAUAUUUCCUUCUCUAGUGUCCAUCUCCAUGUAAUGUAUUUUGCACAUCACGCUGCUGCCUAAAUCACUGUUGUGCUGCGAUUUGUACAGAUCGCCGCCUCGUCAUGCCCAAAAGGUCUAUUCCUCUUCCUCCGGUGAUCUGCUGUGUUUCCCUUGGCAAUAGCUUGUGCUUGUCGGAGCAAUGCUUUGUUACUACCAUUUUCGGGUUAGAUGUAUUUCGAUUGCAAUGGGGUGGACACUAACACUAUUCCUGGAUGUCAAUCCUGCUAAAAAUAUUUGGUUGAACCAACUCUUGAAGAAAAAAUAUUUUUGUACGAAAUCCCAUAGCUCGGUUGCUUGUCCAAUCAUAUGUACUUGUUUAUAUCAAUUGGUAAAUAUAGCUGAAAGAAUUUUACUGUAAGUUGAUCAGAAUCUAAUUUCUGAUGCUAUUAUGUUAAAGCAAGUUGCAGCUUGUUACGAUAAGUGGCAAUAAGAAUACAAAUUAGAUGCUUGUUGCUUUAGAAGUAUGUUACAGGUUACAGUUUUAUUGCUGUCCCUUUUCUGGGCUCAGGGCCGUUUGAAGUGCUAACCUGAUAUAUAAGCCUCUGAGAUAGAAUAUAGAUUGAUCACAUAAGAAACUUAGUUAGCUCAAUUUCUUCUUUUACUUAAUUUUAUUUCAGUGCAACUUCUGUUUUUUUAAUUAAUUACACGUGAUGGUGAUUGUACUCUGCAGUGAAACUCAUUUGGAAGCUGGAGUGUACCUGCUUGCCAAGAUCAUGAUGGUGACGAGGCAAUGCAGUUCAGAUCUGUUUAGUUCUUAUUACCUGGCCUAAUGUACCAUGCCAAUAAUUCUUGCCUCUUGGUAAAAGUCUAUGUUUGUAUAGCUCCAGUGCUUACAUAAUUCUUCUAUUCCAUUGUUCAGGAAGUUUAGCUUAUUGCCCUAUGCUUUUCUCUGUAUAUGCAGGUUGCUUAACUGACAGCUCUGCUUGGUACAAUGUGGUGGCCAUUUGAAGUUAAAAUAAAGAGGCACCAUAAGAUCAAACUGUCGAUCCCUCAUGCUUCGGUGCUUGCUUUCGCCAGAUCCUUAUGAGAACCGAGGUCCAGAAGCAUUAUGUUACAUGGUAGCAAGUCGAAUGGAGUAUGGUUUAAGUGGUUAACUGUUAAUCGUCUUCCUUCUGUACGGAGAAUUUGUAUUUUUUAUCUUGCCACAUUAAAUUCUUAUGUUGAUCUGGAAUUUGUAUUUUUUUGGGCACAGUGAAUUCUUACGGGUGUUUUUUUUGUGUUUAAUUAGUGUACCACUGCCUUUUCAAUCGAUUUUCUAUUUUAUGUUGCCACCAGAUUUCUUACUUCGUUGAUUGGCUAAAAGCUUUGGCUGUAUUGCUGGUCCAGGAUAAUAUUUGGUCUCGCAAAAAAUAUGAACCAUUACGUGGAAUGCAACAUAAUCUUACAACUCUUGACAGGUGUCCAAUUUCCAACUGCAAAAUAUCUGUACAACACAU
This 1524-nucleotide long non-coding RNA is filed under the name Brachypodium distachyon (stiff brome). RNAcentral's name for it is "long non-coding RNA (BDIS_LNC000724)". Lineage: Eukaryota; Viridiplantae; Streptophyta; Magnoliopsida; Poales; Poaceae. The record is from RNAcentral.